AAAGAUCACCAGUGAUAGUAUGUGUUCUCUUUGCAACAAGAAAAUUGGAACAAGUGUUUUUGCAGUCUAUCACAAUGGGAAAACGCUCGUGCACUUCGUAUGCUUUAGGGACUCGCAGAGUAUGAAAGCUAUGGCGAAAGGCACACUACCAAGCAAGCGAUGAAAUUGUGCAUUCACAUGCAGUUUGAGAAUGAAAGUUUUUCUUUGAACAGAUUUAAGCUGCAAUUAUGCUUCUCCUACGGAGGCAAAGUGGUGCUAGCAAAACUAGUAUCUGCAUGCAGGGAUGAUGAGAUUUGUGAUUUUCAUUCGGCGUUGAACCAUUAUAUGUACAUAUAUUGGUUUGUAGAUAGCUGUAGAUGUGUGGUUUGCAUUCUGAAAAACGCUGGUUCUAAUAUGAUGAGAGUGUUUUAAGGUUCCCUGGUCCUAUAAAAGUUGCUUCUGUUGUAAAAAUAGUUUGAUUUCCAGCUGCAUGUCAAUUGCAUUGCACCACUGCAGGUUGUGAACAAAUUUUUCCUUCUUAAAAAAGAUAACAUUCUGUAAUUGUCCUUCCAAUUAUACACCAAUGAUUCAAAUUUCAAGUGUAAUGGAACGUCCUUCAACAGAUAAAAGACAUUCACAUUCAUAGCAUUGAUAAUGACUGUCCAGCCCGCAAGUUUUUACGCCUGGGAAACGAAACCGCAAACCAGAACUCCAACUCUGGACCCCUCGCACGGGCUGUCCGCGUGACUAAACUCCAUCAAACCAUUUCUUUGCCCUCUUGAGGAACACGCAAUUCUUCUUCCACCUCCUCAAAUGACCCACAGCAAACGCCUUUUUCUUCUUCCUCUUCUCUUUGCUCAUGGCCAUCAGCAUACGCGUAUAGCAGAGGCUCACACAAAUGAUCAUGGUAAACCACAUCUGAUGCCAAUAUUAGAUCAAAAUCCGUUCCUAUAAUCUCCACGUCACCAUCACCAUCCUCUUCUCACUUGAGCAGCGCCACUUUAACUCUCCCGCAUUCAAGAACUAUCACUUGAGCAGCGCCACUACCGACACGGACAGUGUUGAAGCCAAGCUCGAGUACGUUGAUUGGAGUGUUCGAUGAUAAGGCGGAGAGAGAGCUCGAGUACGUUGAUUGGAGUGUUCGAUGAUAAGGCGGAGAGAG
RNAcentral lists this unclassified non-coding RNA (1141 nucleotides) under Hevea brasiliensis (rubber tree). The record is from RNAcentral. Lineage: Eukaryota; Viridiplantae; Streptophyta; Magnoliopsida; Malpighiales; Euphorbiaceae.